CAAGCUGGCCGGGCGGUCGCGGCUUCGCGUAGCGGGGCUGAGGAAAGUCCGCACUCCCCAGAGCACGGUGCCGGCUAACGGCCGGGCAGGGCGACCUGAUGGCAAGUGCAACAGAGAGGAGAUUGCCCCGAACCCGUACGGGUGAAGGGUGAGGGUGAAACGGUGGAGUAAGAGUCCACCGGCGGCGGCAGCAAUGUCGCCGGCCAGGCAAACCCCACCGGGAGCAAGGUCAAGCAGGGUGGAAGCCUUCGGGCUGCGGGGCUGCUCGUUCCGCCAAUACAUCCGGGUAGACUGCAUGAGGUGUCUGGUAACAGGCAUCCCAGAUAGAUGAUCGCCGGUCACCGGCUCCGGCCGGUGACAACAGAAUGCGGCUUACAGGCUGGCUUGGUUU
RNAcentral lists this RNase P RNA (391 nucleotides) under Anaerolineales bacterium. Its description in RNAcentral is "RNase P RNA component class A". It matches the Rfam family "Bacterial RNase P class A". From Rfam's summary of the family: Ribonuclease P (RNase P) is a ubiquitous endoribonuclease, found in archaea, bacteria and eukarya as well as chloroplasts and mitochondria. Its best characterised activity is the generation of mature 5'-ends of tRNAs by cleaving the 5'-leader elements of precursor-tRNAs. Cellular RNase Ps are ribonucleoproteins. The record is from RNAcentral. Lineage: Bacteria; Bacillati; Chloroflexota; Anaerolineae; Anaerolineales.